AACGAACGCUGGCGGCAUGCCUAACACAUGCAAGUCGAACGAUACCUUCGGGUCUAGUGUCGCACGGGUGCGUAACGCGUGGGAACCUGCCUUUAGGUUCGGAAUAACUCAGAGAAAUUUGAGCUAAUACCGGAUGAUUUCUUCGGACCAAAGAUUUAUCGCCUUUAGAUGGGCCCGCGUUGGAUUAGCUAGUUGGUGGGGUAAAGGCCUACCAAGGCGACGAUCCAUAGCUGGUCUGAGAGGAGGAUCAGCCACACUGGGACUGAGACACGGCCCAGACUCGUACGAGAGGCAGCAGUGGGGGAUAUAGGACAACGGGCGAAAGCCUGAUACAGCAAGGCCGCGUGAGUGAUGAAGGCCUUAGGGUUGUAAAGCUCUUUUAACCGAGAUGAUAAUGACAGUAUCGGGAGAAUAAGCUCCGGCUAACUACGUG
Molecule: ribosomal RNA, 433 nt
Filed under: uncultured bacterium
Lineage: Bacteria
Description: partial 16S ribosomal RNA
Rfam family: Bacterial small subunit ribosomal RNA
Source: RNAcentral